UUUGACCUCGAAUCAGGUAGGACUACCCGCUGAACUUAAGCAUAUCAAUAAGCGGAGGAAAAGAA
RNAcentral lists this ribosomal RNA (65 nucleotides) under Mariannaea punicea. RNAcentral's name for it is "partial 28S ribosomal RNA". It matches the Rfam family "Eukaryotic large subunit ribosomal RNA", at positions 1 to 63 of the family's 3401-position model. The record is from RNAcentral. Lineage: Eukaryota; Fungi; Ascomycota; Sordariomycetes; Hypocreales; Nectriaceae.